Molecule: ribosomal RNA, 253 nt
Filed under: uncultured bacterium
Lineage: Bacteria
Description: partial 16S ribosomal RNA
Rfam family: Bacterial small subunit ribosomal RNA
Source: RNAcentral
UACGGAGGGUGCAAGCGUUAGUCGGAAUUACUGGGCGUAAAGCGUGCGUAGGUGGUUUCUUAAGUCCGUUGUGAAAGCCCUGGGCUCAACCUGGGAACUGCAGUGGAUACUGAGAGGCUAGAGUGUGUCAGAGGAUGGUGGAAUUCCCGGUGUAGCGGUGAAAUGCGUAGAGAUCGGGAGGAACAUCAGUGGCGAAGGCGGCCAUCUGGGACAACACUGACGCUGAGGCACGAAAGCGUGGGGAGCAAACAGG